RNAcentral lists this long non-coding RNA (2321 nucleotides) under Nicotiana tabacum (common tobacco). RNAcentral describes it as "long non-coding RNA (NTAB_LNC013428)". Lineage: Eukaryota; Viridiplantae; Streptophyta; Magnoliopsida; Solanales; Solanaceae. The record is from RNAcentral.
ACCCCCAUACCCUAGAGACCCCCUUCACUCUUCACCUCCCCGUCUCUAACCUCCUAACCCCAGCCGCCCUAAGCUCCUCUCAAACCAAACAACCUGAACCCUAGACGCCGCCUACCGGAGAUCAUUUCAUGGCGGCGGCCGGUCUCCAAAUCACUCCAAAAUCACACCAAACACUCCUCACUUCCUCUUCUUUCCAGAUCCCCAAAUCAAUCCCCCCGAAUCCCUCUCAAAUUUCGCCAAUUUCAAAUCUGGGGACAUGCAAACCCUAAAUAUGAGCUUUUAAGACGAUUUGAGCAGGAAAUUGGUGUUAAUCGUCUGUUCUCAAUAGGAACUGUUAUUUAACACCUAUUUUUGAUUUAAAUCGGAAAAUGACGGGUCCCGCCGGAGCCACUAUCAUUCGUGCAGUAGGUAUCUAUUCUUCUUUUUUUUUUUUUUUCAUUAUCUUUCUCUUUUUCUUUAUCUUCUUCUCUUUUUCAUUACUCCGUUUUCUUCUAGUUUUCUUUUCUUUGACCAAAAUAAAAGAGAUUCAGGAAGCUAUAAUCUAUGGGUCAUUAGGGUUUUUCUCGCGCUUAGUUAGGGCUCAUCAAUUUAUGCAUUUUCAUUAGAAUCAUCAGUUGGUCAAAUUUUUCGGCUAGGGUUUUUUAAUUUGUUUUAGUUCGUGUUUAAUUAAUUUAACUACUGUAGUCCAUUGUUAGUUUUAGGCAUCUUUGCUGUCUUGAUGUUCAUAAUUGCUUAAUUAAUUAGCGUUUAAAAUAGGUUGGUUUAAUGUUUGCUUAAUUAGCCUAUGUUUAAUUCUAUUUCAUGUUUAUCUGGCAUUGAUUGUCUGCGUAUGCUCAUUAUCAAAAUGUCAGUCCAAAGAGCAUUGAGAGUUCAUUAUGAAUCUUGAGGUUUAGGUUUAUUUAUUUUAAAGAUAUGAGAUGUUCAACGUUUAGUUUUAUUGGUCUUUCUGUUUGAUCUCAUUUGUUGAUAUCUGUUCGCUUAUUUCUAUUUGACAUAAAUCCUGUAGAAAAUUAUAGGGUCGUAAUUGAACAAAUGGAAACUUAUGGGUUAAUUUUGGACACAGAAAUAGGAUUUUCAGAUAAGGCUUGGUAUAAGAAGUUUCUAGAACCUGGGGGAGUUGUCCCCAUUUGGUUAACACAAAAAUGCUGAGCCAAUAAGGGAUAUCCAGCUGUCCAGGUGGUUAAAAAUGUCUUUUCAGGCUGAGAGAAUAUUUUCUUAAUUGGUUUAGAGCACAUGACCUUAGAGGUCUAUAAAAGGGUGCCCUUCCUUCACUCAGAAACCAGAUUUAAAGCAUCAUUCUCUGCACUAAAAGUUCUUCAUUGUUAGCUAAAAACUUUUCUGAUUUUCACAAGAAAACUAGAAAAAAUUCUUUGAAAUUUUCAAACUCCAAAAGGGCUGAAGCAUGAUUUAAAUUCUGGAAGCUGUGGUUGAUGUUAUUGUGUUGUUUUUCUCACAUUGUGGCUGAAAUUCUCAUGUUUUGUUUUGCUUUGGUGUCCAAGUACCUUUUGGACUUUAAAUGACUUGUGAAUUGCAAGUCUGAAAUAUGUAAUCAAAUGUGAAGAUUGAAUGAUAUAUUGCUGCCAGAUGAAAUUUGUUCACAUGUUUUAUUUUAAGUUCAUUUAGUCCUUGUAGUACUGUUAGUUUUCCUUUAUGUGUUUUCCAUUUGUUCAUGUCACUGAUUUUGUAUCUCGACUUCAAGUGUAGUUUGGAGUCCUCUACUGUGUUGAUUUGUGACUUAAAUUUGUUGGGUUUGCUUAGAUCUAUUUAGGUCAGUGUUGAUUCUCAGUCUAUGACUAGUCCAUAAUAUGCUUUCGUUGGUUUCAGAAGUGAACUUUCAGUUUCUUUACAUGUGUUUCCCCUUGAGCUACCCAACUCUUUAUUAACUUCUGGUUUCUCUCAGCUGUACUAAGACAAAGCAGUAGUCUAGUAGGGAUUUUUAUAUGUUAAGGUAAGGAUUAGUCCACUGAUUCCUUUAAGUUUAAAAAGUUGAUUUAGCCUUCGUGUAUGUUGAUUUUGGCUGCUGAAUCUGCAUAGUUUAAUCAUUUAAUUUCAGCAUUGCUAGAGUACUCUGUUGAUAUGAGAAUUAGUAGGUUUAAUGAGUAGUUUUAAAUCCAUGUUCAUUUUACCACUGAUUGUAGUAUGUUGUCAAAUUUAAUUCACAAUCUGGUUGUUCAUGUCUGGUGUUCUCGUAUCAUGUUUCUGUAGUUCUUAAGGGCAAUUGGGCCCAGUUUGGGCCUGUAUGAGGCCGCCAGUUUAGGAAUGGGUUUAGCUUUUGCUUUUUGUUAUUUUCUCUCUUUGGGCUCAAUUCUGAGCCCUAUCCG